CUAAACAUUUUCUUUAUAUUUCUUUUCAGCUGCUUGUCCCCAAAUGAGCUGUCUGCUGUGAGUUACAACCUCACUUGCUCUCAUAUUGUUCAAUCUCUGGCACUACAAAUUUCAGCAACAUUGCUGGCAACAACGGGUGAAAAUCUGUCAUAUCCCUCUCCUCUGCUAUCUCCUUGUAUCCAGGGCCAAAACAAAGUCAUGCUUCCCAAAGAAGACAACCUAGCAUCAAUGAAGGUCAGUCCUCAUAAAUAAAUGACAAAACAUGUAUUGGACAUGCAGUUUUUUAUUAUUUUUUGUCUAGUAAUUUAGCCUUCAUUAUUUGAAUUUGAUUACUAAUUUUUUGUUCUUAAUAUGCUUUUUUGUCAAGUGUAGUUCCAUUUUGUUUGAAAAA
This is a long non-coding RNA of Cicer arietinum (chickpea), 391 nucleotides long. RefSeq lists it as uncharacterized. NCBI's taxonomy places the organism in Eukaryota, Viridiplantae, Streptophyta, Magnoliopsida, Fabales, Fabaceae. The record is from RefSeq and is a predicted model, not a curated record.